AAUACAAGAGAUUUUGAGUUUUUGCUUGCAUUGUUUGACCACUCGUCUUAUUCAAAAAAAAAUUUGGAAUUAUUAUUUAUUUUUUUGUGACUUACUUUAUUAUCUAAAGUACUUUAAGCACAACUUUUCGUUUUUUAUAUUUGCACAAAUUUUUUGAAUAAGACGAGUGGUCAAACAGUGCAAACAGAAACUCAAAAUCCCUUAUA
Molecule: microRNA precursor, 206 nt
Filed under: Oryza glumipatula
Lineage: Eukaryota; Viridiplantae; Streptophyta; Magnoliopsida; Poales; Poaceae
Description: MIR812 microRNA precursor family
Rfam family: MIR812 microRNA precursor family
Source: Rfam by way of RNAcentral